GACGAACGCUGGCGGCGUGCUUAACACAUGCAAGUCGAACGGAAAGGCCCUGCUUUUGUGGGGUGCUUGAGUGGCGAACGGGUGAGUAACACGUGAGUAACCUGCCCUUGACUUUGGGAUAACUUCAGGAAACUGGGGCUAAUACCGGAUAGGAGCUCCUGCUGCAUGGUGGGGGUUGGAAAGUUUCGGCGGUUGGGGAUGGACUCGCGGCUUACCAGCUUGUUGGUGGGGUAGUGGCUUACCAAGGCUUUGACGGGUAGCCGGCCUGAGAGGGUGACCAGCCACAUUGGGACUGAGAUACGGCCCAGACUCCUACGGGAAGCAGCAGUGGAAAAUAUUACACAAUGGGUGGAAGCCUGAUGCAGCAGCGCCGCGUGCGGAAUGACGGCCUUCGGGGUGUAAACCGCUUUCGCCUGUGACGAAGCGUGAGUGACAGUAAUGGGUAAAGAAGCACCGGCUAACUACGUG
This 468-nucleotide ribosomal RNA is filed under the name uncultured bacterium. RNAcentral describes it as "partial 16S ribosomal RNA". It matches the Rfam family "Bacterial small subunit ribosomal RNA", at positions 28 to 507 of the family's 1533-position model. The record is from RNAcentral.